RNAcentral lists this ribosomal RNA (439 nucleotides) under uncultured bacterium. RNAcentral's name for it is "bacterial SSU rRNA". It matches the Rfam family "Bacterial small subunit ribosomal RNA", at positions 339 to 793 of the family's 1533-position model. The record is from RNAcentral.
UUACGGGAGGCAGCAGUCGGGAAUUUUGGGCAAUGGGCGAAAGCCUGACCCAGCAACGCCGCGUGAAGGAUGAAGUAUUUCGGUAUGUAAACUUCGAAAGAAUGGGAAGAACUCAAUGACGGUACCAUUUAUAAGCUCCGGCUAACUACGUGCCAGCAGCCGCGGUAAUACGUAGGGAGCAAGCGUUGUUCGGAUUUACUGGGCGUAAAGGGCGCGUAGGCGGCAAAUCAAGUCAGCUGUGAAAUCUCUGAGCUUAACUCAGAACGGUCAGCUGAUACUGCUUUGCUAGAGUGCGGAAGGGGCAAUCGGAAUUCUUGGUGUAGCGGUGAAAUGCGUAGAUAUCAAGAGGAACACCUGAGGUGAAGACGGGUUGCUGGGCCGACACUGACGCUGAGUGCGCGAAAGCCAGGGGAGCAAACGGGAUUAGAUACCCCUGUAC